This 218-nucleotide long non-coding RNA is filed under the name Elaeis guineensis (African oil palm). RNAcentral's name for it is "long non-coding RNA (EGUI_LNC011160)". The record is from RNAcentral. Lineage: Eukaryota; Viridiplantae; Streptophyta; Magnoliopsida; Arecales; Arecaceae.
UGUUCAUCUAACUCAUUAAUCAAAUAAUUAAGCAAACGUAUAUCUGAGCCAAAAUGAAGGAUGGUUAGUCGUUCGAAGUUUGUCCAGUAACUUGUCAUCAUGUCAGCUCACCGACCAGAAGUAUGACAGCUUCAACUCAACGCAACGCCAUUCUUUUCAACGGGGAGACAACUCAUCUUGGCUAUUCUCAAAUGACUUGGGGAAAAGAUUUGAAAACA